ACCAAUUCUGGAGGAUUUAUACAGUUCCUCACGGUGUAAUGGCUCGGACGCCAAAUCAGUAUCUGUGGCCAUCCUGAUAAAUGGAUUCUUCAAUGCCAUUUCAUCGUGGAAACACCUCAUACAUUC
Molecule: small nucleolar RNA, 126 nt
Organism: Cynara cardunculus var. scolymus (artichoke)
Lineage: Eukaryota; Viridiplantae; Streptophyta; Magnoliopsida; Asterales; Asteraceae
Source: RefSeq, a predicted model, not a curated record